This is a long non-coding RNA of Melanotaenia boesemani (Boeseman's rainbowfish), 590 nucleotides long. RefSeq lists it as uncharacterized. The transcript is spliced from 2 exons. The record is from RefSeq and is a predicted model, not a curated record. NCBI's taxonomy places the organism in Eukaryota, Metazoa, Chordata, Actinopteri, Atheriniformes, Melanotaeniidae.
UCAUGCUCCGUGGUUCGGAGCCGGUUUUUCCCAGCUACCCUGAAGGCAUCUUCCCCGCACGCUGGCUUGAUUACUGAUGCGCUCCACCUGCGCUGAGCACUUUAUAUACCUGCCUGUUUCAUCUCUCAGUUGCCAGAUCGUCUUGGUUCUACCCUGUACGCUUCCAGCCCUUAUUUCUCAGCCUGUUUGCCCGUCUGUUGUUGACCCGUUUGCCUUGGAUUUGGAUUCUGCCUCAGCCUGCCCCUGUCUGGUACUCUGCCUGUCUCUGUUUGGAUCUCCUGGCUCUGGACCUCUGGAAUCGAUUAUUGGACUUGGAUUACGGAUUACGGACUACUCCCCCUAACCCCCACGAGGAUUCUCGUUUCCCACUCUGUCAGCCUGGCCGGCAGUUCAACCUAUCCAGAUACUAACCCCUCUUUUGCUCAGCAGCUUCUCCUACAGCACGCAGCAGAUUUCCCCCCCGGAUUCCCGUGGCUCUGAGCUUGAGGAUUCCUCCCUCUCCCGCUGGAUCUCACUCUGCUGAAGCCUGAACUUAGAAGACCCGGAUUGCACAUUCCUUACAUUGUAAACAAAUAAAAGUUUGUACCCAU